UAGGGAAUCUUCGGCAAUGGACGAAAGUCUGACCGAGCAACGCCGCGUGAGUGAAGAAGGUUUUCGGAUCGUAAAACUCUGUUGUUAGAGAAGAACAAGUACGUUAGUAACUGAACGUCCCCUGACGGUAUCUAACCAGAAAGCCACGGCUAACUACGUGCCAGCAGCCGCGGUAAUACGUAGGUGGCACGCGUUGUCCGGAUUUAUUUGGCGUAAAGCGAGCGCAGGCGGUUUCUUAAGUCUGAUGUGAAAGCACCCGGCUCAACCGGGGAGGGUCAUUGGAAACUGGGAGACUUGAGUGCAGAAGAGGAGAGUGGAAUUCCAUGUGUAGCGGUGAAAUGCGUAGAUAUAUGGAGGAACACCAGUGGCGAAGGCGGCUCUCUGGUCUGUAACUGACGCUGAGGCUCGAAAGCGUGGGGAGCAAACAGG
RNAcentral lists this ribosomal RNA (429 nucleotides) under Gemmatimonadota bacterium. Its description in RNAcentral is "Gemmatimonadetes bacterium partial 16S ribosomal RNA". It matches the Rfam family "Bacterial small subunit ribosomal RNA", at positions 355 to 776 of the family's 1533-position model. Lineage: Bacteria; Pseudomonadati; Gemmatimonadota. The record is from RNAcentral.